This 71-nucleotide transfer RNA is filed under the name Varicospira cancellata. RNAcentral describes it as "tRNA-Phe". It matches the Rfam family "tRNA". From Rfam's summary of the family: Transfer RNA (tRNA) molecules are approximately 80 nucleotides in length. Their secondary structure includes four short double-helical elements and three loops (D, anti-codon, and T loops). Lineage: Eukaryota; Metazoa; Mollusca; Gastropoda; Littorinimorpha; Rostellariidae. The record is from RNAcentral.
UGCCCGAAUAGCUUAUAAAAUAGAGCAUAGCACUGAAGAUGCUAAGGAAACUAGUAAAGUUUUCAGGCAAC